AAGCAAAAUAAUGCUUUUUGAAAUUGUCUCUAGGAUUUUAAAGUGAAAAAAUGAUGGUACUAUCCAAAGUUCUUUAUUUCAGAAUCUGACAGUGGAUUCCUUUAACAUAGGCUCAAGAUCAAAACAGCAUACCCUCUAAGCUCAGACAGACUGUUGACUCCAAGGGUUUUGAUCAAUACCAUAACAAACCUUUUUCCUUUGACAUACUCUGGGUUUUCCCUCAUAUUGUUGUAAAUUACAGAAUAAUGUUAAUUGUUCUCAAAACUGGAUUUUCUUCAAAAUUAAAAAAUUUUUUUCUUUCGGAUUUAAUGAAGUAUUGCUAGCUGAAGCCAGUUUGACAUGGUGA
RNAcentral lists this long non-coding RNA (346 nucleotides) under Bos taurus (domestic cattle). RNAcentral describes it as "long non-coding RNA NONBTAT011875". Lineage: Eukaryota; Metazoa; Chordata; Mammalia; Artiodactyla; Bovidae. The record is from RNAcentral.